AAUGAACGCUGGCGGCAUGCCUAACACAUGCAAGUCGAACGAACACACGAGGAGCUUUCGCCCCUGAGGGUAGCGGCGGACGGGCGAGUAACACGUGGAUAGCCUACCUCUAUGACUGGGAUGAUAACGGGGGACAAGGUCUAAUAACGGAGAAUAUAUCGAACCGCAUGGUGCAAGAGUUAAAGACGCUUUUGGUGACGGUUAUAGACGGAUCCGGGCCGGAUUAGCUAGUUGGUAAGGUAACGGCUUACCAACGCGACGAUGCGUAGCCGACCUGAGAGGGUGAUCGGCCACACUGGAACUGAGACACGGUCCAGACUCCUACGGGAGGCAGCAGUCGGGAAUCUUCCGCAAUGGGCGAAAGCCUGAUGGAGCAACACCGCGUGAGUGAUGAAGGUCUUCGGAUGGUAAAGCUCUGUUGUUAGGAAAGAAGAAAAGCAUAUUUAACCCUGGCCGUAUUGACGGUACCUAAAGAAUAAGCACCGGCUAACUACGUG
Molecule: ribosomal RNA, 497 nt
Filed under: uncultured bacterium
Lineage: Bacteria
Description: partial 16S ribosomal RNA
Rfam family: Bacterial small subunit ribosomal RNA
Source: RNAcentral